CAGGUAGGACUACCCGCUGAACUUAAGC
Molecule: ribosomal RNA, 28 nt
Filed under: Rhizopogon roseolus
Lineage: Eukaryota; Fungi; Basidiomycota; Agaricomycetes; Boletales; Rhizopogonaceae
Also listed under: 2 other names
Description: partial 18S ribosomal RNA
Source: RNAcentral